This is a long non-coding RNA of Salvelinus fontinalis (brook trout), 1209 nucleotides long. RefSeq lists it as uncharacterized. The transcript is spliced from 2 exons. The record is from RefSeq and is a predicted model, not a curated record. Lineage: Eukaryota; Metazoa; Chordata; Actinopteri; Salmoniformes; Salmonidae.
ACACUGAUGCCUUUUGCAACCACAUACCUAUGUGAGAGUGGAUUCUCAGCCCUCACUAGCAUGAAAACUAAAUACAGGCACAGAUUGUGUGUAGGAAAAAAAAGACAUUGCAGAGUUAUGUGCAUCCUUUCAAGCACACCCUUCUCAUUAACCUGUGAACCUGAGCCCUAGGACCAUACGUCAGGACUACCGGGCAUGCUGACACCUUGCUGUCCCCAGUCCGCCCGGCCUUGCUGCUAUUCCAGUUUCAACUGUUUCUGCCUGCGGUUACGAAACCCCUACCUGUCCCAGACCUGCUGUUUUCAACUCUUAAUGAUCGGCUAUGAAAAGCCAACUGAGAUUUAUUCCUGAUUAUUAUUUGACCAUGCUUGUCAUUUAUGAACAUUUUGAAAAUCUUGGCUCUCUCUAAUUUUCUCCUUCUCUCUUUCUCUCGGAGGACCUGAGCCCUAGGACCAUACGUCGGGACUACCGGCCGUGGUGACUCCUUGCUGCCCCCAGUCCGCCUGGCCUUGCUGCUAUUCCAGUUUCAACUCUUCUGCCUGCGGUUAUGGAACCCCUACCUGUCCCAGACCUGCUGUUUUCAACUCUUAAUGAUCGGCUAUGAAAAGCCAACUGAGAUUUAUUCCUGAUUAUUAUUUGACCAUGCUUGUCAUUUAUGAACAUUUUGAAAAUCUUGGCUCUCUCUAAUUUUCUCCUUCUCUCUUUCUUUCUCUCGGAGGACCUGGGCCCUAGGACCAUGCGUCGGGACUGCCGCCCGUGGUGACUCCUUGCUGUCCCCAGUCCGCCUGGCCUUGCUGCUAUUCCAGUUUCAGCUGUUCUGCCUGCGGUUAUGGAACCGCCACCUGUCCCAGACCUGUUGUUUUUCAACUCUUAAUGAUCAGCUAUGAAAAGCCAACUGAAAAUUAUUCAUGAUUAUUAUUUGACCAUGCUUGUCACUUAUGAACAUUUUUGAACAUCUUGGCAUAGUUCUGUUAUAAUCUCCACCCGGCACAGCCAGAAGAGGACUGGCCACCCCUCAUAGCCUGGUUCCUCUCUAGGUUUCUUCCUAGGUUUUGGCCUUUCUAGGGAGUUUUUCCUAGCCACCGUGCUUCUACACCUGCAUUCUAGCUGUUUGGGGUUUUAGGCUGGGUUUCUGUACAGCACUUCGAGAUAUUAUCUGAUGUACGAAGGGCUAUAUAAAAUAAAAUUGAUUGAUUGAUUGAUCACCAA